AUUGAACGCUGGCGGCAGGCCUAACACAUGCAAGUCGAACGACUGGCGGACGGGUGAGGAAUGUCUGGGAUACUGCCUGAUGGAGGGGGAUAACUACUGGAAACGGUAUCUAAUACCGCAUACCAUCUGAUGUGCCCAGCUGGGAUUAGCUAGUAGGUGGGGUAAAGGCCCACCUAGGCGACGAUCCCUAGCUGGUCGGAGAGGAUGACCAGCCACACUGGAACGGAGACAGGGCCCAGACUCCUACGGGAGGCAGCAGUGGGGAAUAUUGCAAAAGGGGCGCAGGCCUGCUGCAGACAUGCCGCGUGGAUGAAGAAGGCCUUCGGGUUGUAAAGUACUUUCAGCGGGGAGGCGUUACCCGAAGAAGAAGCACCGGCUAACUCCGUGCCAGCAGCCGCGGUAAUUC
RNAcentral lists this ribosomal RNA (406 nucleotides) under uncultured bacterium. RNAcentral describes it as "partial 16S ribosomal RNA". It matches the Rfam family "Bacterial small subunit ribosomal RNA", at positions 29 to 526 of the family's 1533-position model. The record is from RNAcentral.